This 497-nucleotide ribosomal RNA is filed under the name uncultured bacterium. RNAcentral's name for it is "partial 16S ribosomal RNA". It matches the Rfam family "Bacterial small subunit ribosomal RNA", at positions 28 to 507 of the family's 1533-position model. The record is from RNAcentral.
GAUGAACGCUGGCGGCGUGCCUAAUACAUGCAAGUCGAGCGAACGGACGAGAAGCUUGCUUCUCUGAUGUUAGCGGCGGACGGGUGAGUAACACGUGGAUAACCUACCUAUAAGACUGGGAUAACUUCGGGAAACCGGAGCUAAUACCGGAUAAUAUUUUGAACCGCAUGGUUCAAAAGUGAAAGACGGUCUUGCUGUCACUUAUAGAUGGAUCCGCGCUGCAUUAGCUAGUUGGUAAGGUAACGGCUUACCAAGGCAACGAUGCAUAGCCGACCUGAGAGGGUGAUCGGCCACACUGGAACUGAGACACGGUCCAGACUCCUACGGGAGGCAGCAGUAGGGAAUCUUCCGCAAUGGGCGAAAGCCUGACGGAGCAACGCCGCGUGAGUGAUGAAGGUCUUCGGAUCGUAAAACGCUGUUAUAAGGGAAGAACAUAUGUGUAAGUAACUGUGCACAUCUUGACGGUACCUAAGCAGAAAGCCACGGCUAACUACGUG